Molecule: long non-coding RNA, 771 nt
Organism: Lycium barbarum (goji berry)
Lineage: Eukaryota; Viridiplantae; Streptophyta; Magnoliopsida; Solanales; Solanaceae
Exons: 3
Source: RefSeq, a predicted model, not a curated record
UUUUUAAAUUUUCACAGUAGCAGCAAUCGAUUCUCCUCCUCUUCAAAUUAAUGAAGUGCUACAAAAACUUGUUCCUUCUUUAAAUUUCAACGUAGUGCGGUAGUAACCUAAUAAAGGUUCCUUUUAUGAAAUUUCCUCAAAUUCUCUCAAAUCCAUUCAAGAUCAAGUAUAGCUUUAUUCCUUCGUCGAUUUCAUGAUUAUAAUUUCGGUCCCCUCCGAAUCUUAGCAAUUUCGGGAUUACUUUGUGUUGAAGUUGAAGCUUUCUUCUAGGUGAAGUAUCCUAAGAUUAAGGAUUUUCUUGUGUGAUUGAGGCUAAAGGAGCGACGAGGCGAAAGGGAUUCACGAAUAAGCGCUAAAGGUACAGACGCACAGUUCGGUGAUCCCCCAGUUUAGGAUAUCCCCUUAAGCUGUUUGGAGUGCUCUUCUCAUUUCAGAGCAUACAUUUUUGGUAUAUACUUUUGUUCGUUAUGUAUGUAUAUAUAUUUGUUCCGGGUACGGCGGGGCCCUGUUCCGCCAUAUGAUUCGUUUGGUCUGUUUAGAGGUCUGUAGACUUAUUUGUGGGUGUGUGUGCCUACUACUGUACAGUUGUGUCCAUAUGAUCUCUUUCGUUAUGGCAGCCUUGUCGGCUCGCACAUGUAUAUGUUGUUCUGUUGGCCCUGUGUGGCCUUUGUUGGUAUUUGCUGUGUACAGGGUUAUUUUGGAUAGUCCGAAAAACAAAGGAAACUCUGCCGAAAUUUUCUUUGAAAAUCUUAUAAAUUUGAAACACCGCCU